AACGAACGCUGGCGGCAGGCUUAACACAUGCAAGUCGAGCGCCCCGCAAGGGGAGCGGCAGACGGGUGAGUAACGCGUGGGAACGUACCUUUUGGUUCGGAACAACUCCGGGAAACUGGAGCUAAUACCGGAUAAGCCCUAACGGGGAAAGAUUUAUCGCCGAAAGAUCGGCCCGCGUCUGAUUAGCUAGUUGGUGAGGUAACGGCUCACCAAGGCGACGAUCAGUAGCUGGUCUGAGAGGAUGAUCAGCCACACUGGGACUGAGACACGGCCCAGACUCCUACGGGAGGCAGCAGUGGGGAAUAUUGGACAAUGGGCGCAAGCCUGAUCCAGCCAUGCCGCGUGAGUGAUGAAGGCCUUAGGGUUGUAAAGCUCUUUUGUCCGGGAAGAUAAUGACUGUACCGGAAGAAUAAGCCCCGGCUAACUGCGU
Molecule: ribosomal RNA, 430 nt
Filed under: uncultured bacterium
Lineage: Bacteria
Description: partial 16S ribosomal RNA
Rfam family: Bacterial small subunit ribosomal RNA
Source: RNAcentral